RNAcentral lists this ribosomal RNA (370 nucleotides) under uncultured eukaryote. Its description in RNAcentral is "partial 18S ribosomal RNA". It matches the Rfam family "Eukaryotic small subunit ribosomal RNA", at positions 592 to 976 of the family's 1831-position model. The record is from RNAcentral.
CAAUAGCGUAUAUUAAAGUUGUUGCAGUUAAAAAGCUCGUAGUUGGACCUUGGACCUGGACAGGCGGUCCGCCUCACGGCGUGUACUGUCUUGCUGGGUCUUUCCUCUUGGUGAUCUGUUGUUUCGGCAGCAGGGAACCAGGACUUUUACUUUGAAAAAAUUAGAGUGUUCAAAGCAGGCUCGACGCCGGAAUAUAUUAGCAUGGAAUAAUAAAAUAGGACGUGCGGUUCUAUUUUGUUGGUUUUUGGAAUCGCCGUAAUGAUUAAUAGGGACAGUCGGGAGCAUUAGUACUCACAUGCUAGAGGUGAAAUUCUUGGAUUUUGUGAAGACUAACUUCUGCGAAAGCAUUUGCCAAGGAUGUUUUCAUUAA